RNAcentral lists this unclassified non-coding RNA (152 nucleotides) under uncultured Ascomycota. RNAcentral describes it as "sequence contains ITS1". The record is from RNAcentral. Lineage: Eukaryota; Fungi; Ascomycota.
CAGAGUUGAAAGACUCCCAAACCAUCGCGAACGGUACCCCUAUCGUUGCCUCGGCGGGCGCUAACCUCCCCCGGGAGAGCCCGCCGGCGGCGCCCCCAAACUCUGUUUUCUUACCACUGGACCUCUCUGAGUAUACUGUACAAAAUCAGUCA